GUGAUCGCUUUGGUAGCACAUAUACUAAAUUGGAAUGAUAAAGGGUAGAUUAGCAUGGCCCCUGUGCAAAGAUGACACACGAAUUUGUGAAGCAUUCCAUAUUUUU
Small nuclear RNA from Dipodomys spectabilis (banner-tailed kangaroo rat), 106 nucleotides. The record is from RefSeq and is a predicted model, not a curated record. NCBI's taxonomy places the organism in Eukaryota, Metazoa, Chordata, Mammalia, Rodentia, Heteromyidae.